AGAUUAAGUUAUUAAGGGCGCACGGUGGAUGCCUUGGCACUAGAAGCCGAUGAAGGACGUUACUAACGACGAUAUGCUUUGGGGAGCUGUAAGUAAGCUUUGAUCCAGAGAUUUCCGAAUGGGGAAACCCAGCAUGAGUUAUGUCAUGUUAUCGAUAUGUGAAUACAUAGCAUAUCAGAAGGCACACCCGGAGAACUGAAACAUCUUAGUACCCGGAGGAAGAGAAAGAAAAUUCGAUUCCCUUAGUAGCGGCGAGCGAAACGGGAAGAGCCCAAACCAAAAAGCUUGCUUGUUGGGGUUGUAGGACACUCUAUACGGAGUUACAAAGGACGACAUUAGACGAAUCAUCUGGAAAGAUGAAUCAAAGAAGGUAAUAAUCCUGUAGUCGAAAAUGUUGUCUCUCUUGAGUGGAUCCUGAGUACGACGGAGCACGUGAAAUUCCGUCGGAAUCUGGGAGGACCAUCUCCUAAGGCUAAAUACUCUCUAGUGACCGAUAGUGAACCAGUACCGUGAGGGAAAGGUGAAAAGCACCCCGGAAGGGGAGUGAAAUAGAACCUGAAACCGUGUGCUUACAAGUAGUCAGAGCCCGUUAAUGGGUGAUGGCGUGCCUUUUGUAGAAUGAACCGGCGAGUUACGAUUUGAUGCAAGGUUAAGCAGUAAAUGUGGAGCCGUAGCGAAAGCGAGUCUGAAUAGGGCGUUUAGUAUUUGGUCGUAGACCCGAAACCAGGUGAUCUACCCUUGGUCAGGUUGAAGUUCAGGUAACACUGAAUGGAGGACCGAACCGACUUACGUUGAAAAGUGAGCGGAUGAACUGAGGGUAGCGGAGAAAUUCCAAUCGAACCUGGAGAUAGCUGGUUCUCUCCGAAAUAGCUUUAGGGCUAGCCUCAAGUGAUGAUUAUUGGAGGUAGAGCACUGUUUGGACGAGGGGCCCCUCUCGGGUUACCGAAUUCAGACAAACUCCGAAUGCCAAUUAAUUUAACUUGGGAGUCAGAACAUGGGUGAUAAGGUCCGUGUUCGAAAGGGAAACAGCCCAGACCACCAGCUAAGGUCCCAAAAUAUAUGUUAAGUGGAAA
This 1073-nucleotide ribosomal RNA is filed under the name Staphylococcus aureus. Its description in RNAcentral is "partial 23S ribosomal RNA". It matches the Rfam family "Bacterial large subunit ribosomal RNA", at positions 1 to 1069 of the family's 2925-position model. Lineage: Bacteria; Bacillati; Bacillota; Bacilli; Caryophanales; Staphylococcaceae. The record is from RNAcentral.